UAAGAAAUAGGUAAAUAGGUAUACCUCAAACCUUUGAAAUUUGAAUCAAGAGUUCAAAACUCUUUUUCUUAA
This 72-nucleotide transfer RNA is filed under the name Astrospartus mediterraneus. RNAcentral's name for it is "transfer RNA-Gln". It matches the Rfam family "tRNA". Rfam says of the family: Transfer RNA (tRNA) molecules are approximately 80 nucleotides in length. The record is from RNAcentral. Lineage: Eukaryota; Metazoa; Echinodermata; Ophiuroidea; Euryalida; Gorgonocephalidae.